AUUGAACGCUGGCGGCAUGCCUUACACAUGCAAGUCGAACGGCAGCACGGGGGCAACCCUGGUGGCGAGUGGCGAACGGGUGAGUAAUGCAUCGGAACGUGCCCAGUAGUGGGGGAUAGCUCGGCGAAAGCCGAAUUAAUACCGCAUACGUACUGAGGUAGAAAGCGGGGGACCCGAGGGCAACUGAGGGCCUCGCGCUAUUGGAGCGGCCGAUGUCGGAUUAGCUUGUUGGUGGGGUAAUGGCCUACCAAGGCGACGAUCCGUAACUGGUCUGAGAGGACGACCAGUCACACUGGGACUGAGACACGGCCCAGACUCCUACGGGAGGCAGCAGUGGGGAAUUUGGACAAUGGGCGAAAGCCUGAUCCAGCAAUGCCGCGUGUGUGAAGAAGGCCUUCGGGUUGGUUAAAGGACAACUUUUGUUCCGGUAAAGAAAUACCGUACUGGCUAAUACCCGGACUGGGAUGACGGUACCGGAA
This 479-nucleotide ribosomal RNA is filed under the name uncultured bacterium. RNAcentral describes it as "bacterial SSU rRNA". It matches the Rfam family "Bacterial small subunit ribosomal RNA", at positions 29 to 483 of the family's 1533-position model. The record is from RNAcentral.